AGGAUAAACGCUGGCGGCGUGCCUAACACAUGCAAGUCGAACGCGCUUUCGGGCUUCGGUGCGAGAGCGAGUGGCGGACGGGUGAGUAACACAUGGGUACCUACCUUGGAGUGAGGGAUACCGGCGAGAAAUCGCCGACAAUACCGCAUAGGCUUCUUCACAAGGGAAGCAAAGUGACGCGAGUCACGCUGUGAGAUGGGCCUGUGGCCGAUUAGCUAGUUGGGGGGGUAACGGCUUCCCAAGGCGACGAUCGGUAGCUGGUCUGAGAGGACGAUCAGCCACACUGGGAUUGAGAACGGCCCAGACUCCUACGGGGGGCAGCAGUGAGGAAUUUUCCGCAAUGGAGGCAACUCUGACGGAGCAACGCCGCGUGCAGGAGGAAGGUUUUCGGAUCGUAAACUGCUUUUCUCGGGGACGAGCAAGGAUGGUACCCGAGGAAGAAGCCCCGGCUAACUACGCGCCAGCAGCCGC
RNAcentral lists this ribosomal RNA (471 nucleotides) under uncultured bacterium. RNAcentral's name for it is "SSU rRNA". It matches the Rfam family "Bacterial small subunit ribosomal RNA", at positions 26 to 518 of the family's 1533-position model. The record is from RNAcentral.